GGAGGCGUCGCUUUCUAGUGUCUGUGGUGUCGGCGCUGCAGGAUGACGCGAGCCUCUCGCGUCCCUGGUUUUCUCGGUCGCAGCGUUGAGUUAUUGGGUGGAAAGGCAUCACCUUAGAGUCAACCUUCUUUGAAACCACUGUCUCAGAGAAAUCCCUCCAAGACACAGGUAAUUAGAGAGGGUAUGUGAACCAAGGAGCCAAUCAAAUUCUCCCACAUAAGAAUUUGGGACACAGAAGAUGAAGCUGAGGACCACAAGGAUUUAGAUACUGAUGCUAUUUCCAGCAGAUUAUACAUAUGGUUGAAAGACCAAAUUGCUUUAUUCCAAUCUAAAAUUUAUGGAGUGAUUCUACACUAAAGAUUGCACUGACAGCAUGGAUUCAGGCAUUCUAAAGUCACUGGAGCAGAUAAAUUGUCUGAGAAAGAAGUAGGUAUCAACAAUGGGCUUAAAAUAUUCAGUAAAUUGGAUCUGCUGACCAUAUGGCCAAACAGGAACAGCUCCAGUCUGCAGCUCCCAGCGAGAUCGACAUAGAAGAAAGGAAAAAGGAAGAAGCAGAGGGUCAGCAGAUGUUGAAAGAGGUAUAAUCAAGCUCAUACUCCAUUAAACAGAAAGCAAACUAAGAGCUGGAGAGAUGAAGAGACUUGGUCAACAUCAUACAUAUCUUUCAGCCAAGUUGCUUAAGAACAACAGUUGACUAGAACUGCACGUCUUCCUUCAAACACUGUCUACUGCAGAAUGCAAACAGGAACCUCUGGGAAUAUCUGUUUGGGUAUCAGGAUGAUGCUGGCCUCAGAAUGAGUUUGGAAGGAGUCCUUCCUCCUCAACAUUUUGGAAUAGUUGCAAAGGGAAUGGUACUAGCUCUUCUUUGUACAUUUGGAAGAAUUCAUCUGUGAAUCCAUCUGGUCCUGGGCUU
Molecule: long non-coding RNA, 913 nt
Filed under: Homo sapiens (human)
Lineage: Eukaryota; Metazoa; Chordata; Mammalia; Primates; Hominidae
Description: HSALNT0307880
Source: RNAcentral